AACGAACGCUGGCGGCAGGCCUAACACAUGCAAGUCGAACGCCGUAGCAAUACGGAGUGGCAGACGGGUGAGUAACACGUGGGAACAUACCCUUCGGUUCGGAAUAACUCAGGGAAACUUGAGCUAAUACCGGAUACGUCCGCGAGGAGAAAGAUUCAUCGCCGGAGGAUUGGCCCGCGUCUGAUUAGCUUGUUGGUGAGGUAACGGCUCACCAAGGCGACGAUCAGUAGCGGUCUGAGAGGAUGAUCAGCCACAUUGGGACUGAGACACGGCCCAAACUCCUACGGGAGGCAGCAGUGGGGAAUAUUGGACAAUGGGCGGCAAGCCUGAUCCAGCCAUGCCGCGUGAGUGA
This 352-nucleotide ribosomal RNA is filed under the name uncultured bacterium. RNAcentral describes it as "bacterial SSU rRNA". It matches the Rfam family "Bacterial small subunit ribosomal RNA", at positions 29 to 408 of the family's 1533-position model. The record is from RNAcentral.